Molecule: ribosomal RNA, 464 nt
Filed under: Vreelandella stevensii
Lineage: Bacteria; Pseudomonadati; Pseudomonadota; Gammaproteobacteria; Oceanospirillales; Halomonadaceae
Description: partial 16S ribosomal RNA
Rfam family: Bacterial small subunit ribosomal RNA
Source: RNAcentral
CUACGGGGCACUGCAGUGGGGAAUAUUGGACAAUGGGCGAAAGCCUGAUCCAGCCAUGCCGCGUGUGUGAAGAAGGCCUUCGGGUUGUAAAGCACUUUCAGUGGGGAAGAAAGCCUUGGGGCUAAUACCCUCGAGGAAGGACAUCACCCACAGAAGAAGCACCGGCUAACUCCGUGCCAGCAGCCGCGGUAAUACGGAGGGUGCGAGCGUUAAUCGGAAUUACUGGGCGUAAAGCGCGCGUAGGCGGUCUGAUAAGCCGGUUGUGAAAGCCCCGGGCUCAACCUGGGAACGGCAUCCGGAACUGUCAGGCUAGAGUGCAGGAGAGGAAGGUAGAAUUCCCGGUGUAGCGGUGAAAUGCGUAGAGAUCGGGAGGAAUACCAGUGGCGAAGGCGGCCUUCUGGACUGACACUGACGCUGAGGUGCGAAAGCGUGGGUAGCAAACAGGAUUAGAUACCCCGGUAGUC